Molecule: ribosomal RNA, 254 nt
Filed under: uncultured bacterium
Lineage: Bacteria
Description: partial 16S ribosomal RNA
Rfam family: Bacterial small subunit ribosomal RNA
Source: RNAcentral
UACAGAGGUGGCAAGCGUUGUUCGGAAUUACUGGGCGUAAAGGGCGCGUAGGCGGCCUCUGCAAGUCGACUGUGAAAUCUCCGGGCUUAACCCGGAAAGGUCAGCCGAUACUGCAGGGCUAGAGUGCAGAAGGGGCAACUGGAAUUCUCGGUGUAGCGGUGAAAUGCGUAGAUAUCGAGAGGAACACCUGCGGCGAAGGCGGGUUGCUGGGCUGACACUGACGCUGAAGUGCGAAAGCUAGGGGAGCGAACGGG